CUUGACUGUAUCCUGGAAUUGGGUUCGGGCUUUUCUUGCGCAGCCUAGGUGGGAGGCUAUGAAGAUUUCCUUCCGGGGAAGUUGGAGCCAUCAGUGAGAGACCACUCUGGAGAGGCUAGAAUCCUAAUGGUGAUCCUUGAAUCAGGACACUUGACAGUUUCAGGUGGGCAGUUUUUCUGGGGCGGAAGCCUCAUAAAGGGUAACUGAGGCGCGCAAAGGUCCCCUCAGUCUGGACGGAAAUCAGACAACGAGUGUAAAGGCAAAAGGGGGCUUGACUGCAAGACCUACAAGUCGAGCAGGAGCGAAAGCUGGCCUUAGUGAUCCGACGGUACCGUGUGGAAGGGCCGUCGCUCAACGAAUAAAAGUUA
RNAcentral lists this ribosomal RNA (368 nucleotides) under uncultured organism. RNAcentral's name for it is "bacterial LSU rRNA". It matches the Rfam family "Bacterial large subunit ribosomal RNA", at positions 2099 to 2465 of the family's 2925-position model. The record is from RNAcentral.